This is a long non-coding RNA of Solanum lycopersicum (tomato), 1080 nucleotides long. RefSeq lists it as uncharacterized. The record is from RefSeq and is a predicted model, not a curated record. NCBI's taxonomy places the organism in Eukaryota, Viridiplantae, Streptophyta, Magnoliopsida, Solanales, Solanaceae.
AAAAAAAUAAUUCAUAAAAAAUUACUAAAACUUAUGUGUCCCCAAAUAAGAAAAUCACACUUUUCUCUGUCUCUGUUGAGCUGAUGAAGACAUACUUUUCCUUGAUGAACUGAUCGAAGAGUUGAAGCUAAUGUUUGAAGAACUGAUCGAAUAAUUGUAUAGCUAAGUCUCUGUCACAAAUGAAUUGAAGCUAAGUAUCUUUGUCAUUCUUUUCUGUCAGAUUUCUCGAUGAAGAACUUGAUUUCUCUAUUAUUUCACAUUUAAGAGCUGGCAGCUUCUCGAUGAAGAACACGAGUUUCAUCAUAGUUCUCACUGAAGAACACAAUCUUUUUUGUAUUGGGUUUAUCAGGGACAGAACAACGAAGAUGAUGCACUAAAACUUUCUCACUCAAAGAUUAGUGUUGAUCUACUAAAGAAAUAAUGCAGGAUUAUCGCACCUCAAUUGAAGAACAUUGAAGAUCCCCAUAAUUGCAUCAUACAAAAGUUACCCUUUUUCUAAAUCUUAUCUCAGCAUGAGGAAAUGCUUGGUGAGAGUCUAACUUAAGACCUUCCAAAAACUCCUCAUUAUAUUUCAAUCUCGUUUACAAACUGAUUAUGAGAACAUUUAACAGCUAAGUGAUUCCCUGAAUCUACCGAAGCAGAAAAGUGAAAAACUUCUUAUUCAGAUGCCCCCGAAGAUACACAUUCAUAAGGAUAUGAUAUUUACAGUAGUAGAAAAGGAGAAAUUCUUUGCUCCUUGGUGGGUGUGCAGAUAAUGUUUAAUGUAACAGUGAAGAAGUUGAUGAGUUUUCAUCCAUGUGAGUGGACAAAAUCUAAUGAAAGACUAUAUGCUUGUUAUUGAAGGUGUAGGUGACGUUUGAGAAGAGUUGGUUUAGAUGAAGAUUAGAUACUAGCACACAUUCAGGCAAUGUCAUGGGUCUUCAAUUGAUCCGACGACAUCAAUAAGUAUAGCUUAUCAAGUAAAGAAAUUCUAAUAGACUUUUUUAAUUCGUAUUCGAUUGUUCUAUGGGAUGUCAACCAAAGAUGAUGAUGUGUCUAUGUUGGCUACUUUGAGACUUAUCGUUUCUAUCGUUUUCUAUA